GCAAAUUGCAAAGCAGCAGUGUGGAAGAAACAGAGCACUUUGUUACAAGUUUAUCCUUGAGAUCAAGCAAUUUUCUGUGGGAGUUGAGUGGUCAAAAGCGUCAAUUUGUGUUUACCUUUCCUCGAGAAAGUUUCAGGUGAUAAUAACUUAGUGCACUUUAUUUUGUAGAGACUUCCCUCCCUCUUUUACCAAUUGCUUUUGCUUUCGUCAUGAUCAUACUUGUCCUCCACCUCCACCUCCACCUCCACCAUCCAUGAAACUCAAUAUAACACAGUUUUCUUAGAACCCUUCUUCUGUUCUUCCCCACUUACCAUAUUCAAGUCUCAAGAGAGAAGAGGAGAACUGAGGGAGCUUCCUUCAUGCUUCAAACCAUACCCUCCGGGAUAUAGCAGGUUCUGUACAACUGGUACAUCAAAGGCCAAAAAAUGGAACACACCAAGACAAACUAAAGAAUGACACACCAAGCACGCAGAAUGUGAGUACCGGAUAGGAACUCCGAGGGUGGUAACUCUGCUGAGGGACAAAAGAAUGCAGAAAACUUUGUUAGAUACUUUUGGAAAUGCUAGAAUGCACCGUAACAUUCUAGAUCUGGGUUUUGGGAAGCAGAUCUUAACCUGCCUUUUGGUAAAAUUUCAGGCUGGAAUGGCUGCAAUCCAAAGAGGAAAGGAAUUUGAAAAAACAUGAACUCAAUAGGCAAGGCAACUAAGCCAUGUAAAAUUCUAUGUAUAAGGUGGAUCAAAAAGGCUGGUUGAUUAUAGACUUUGAAGGAGGGCUCGUUUGCAGGGUGGUGGUCGUGAAGGAUUGUUGCUUGGGUAAGGAGAAGGAGACUCCACUCCAAGCGUUUUGAGCAAGAAGCUCCUUUCCUGAAAAAUCCAACAACAUAACUGGUUGUCUACAUUGUGGAAAUUCUGAAUCAACACAGUAAAUGGAGCUCUUAGCUGCUGAUUCAUCUUUCCACACUGCUCAAAUAGUCU
Molecule: long non-coding RNA, 974 nt
Organism: Prunus dulcis (almond)
Lineage: Eukaryota; Viridiplantae; Streptophyta; Magnoliopsida; Rosales; Rosaceae
Exons: 3
Source: RefSeq, a predicted model, not a curated record